CAAGGGCAAACCUAACUCACAUGCUUGGAAUAUCCAAUGAAUAUUCCGAAGCAACCGUUUGCCUUUCAUUCCAACUCGUGGAUCAGUGCCACCACAAGUGACUGUAGGACCAUACGCACACCAAUGUACAGGACGUACGUCUGUAGCGCGACUACAUGACCGUACUCCUAUCCGCUGUGCGGAACGUACUCCCGCACGUCGGUGCGUGUGAAAAACCAAAUUACGAGUGGUGGGGGGUAUGUCCACUCCUCGGGCUGAUCGGUUACUAGGCUUACCGCUUACCAUAUUUCACGGUAUGUGGCAAAUUCAUUCAAAUGUUUAACCACCGCUACCACACACUGCGACCUUAUCAAAUUUUCAUCAACACAGACGGGGUUCUUACCAAUGUCAUGAAUCACAACCCCGCCCAUCAUCCUUAUGGUGGUUACAGGAAUGUAAACAAUGCAACUCCUAUAAAGCUCGCAAGUGACAGGUGUCGGGUUUUAUCCGGCUGCCCACCGAGGGGUAUACCCAAGGCGGUAGGUUUUGGGUUAGGAUGCGCCGAGAUCAGGAACUCGAAGGUGCCGACAACACAAGAUUUAGAUAGGUUCAGGUCACAAUAUGCGUAAUGCCCUACGUCCUGUAUGAUGGUUUGUAUUGCCUUGAUGUUGAUCUGGUGAUCUUGGUUUUGAGGGGGUCCCUGCCCGCCCUUAUAUAUCCGAGAGGACAGGGUUACAUGAAUCCUAGCCUGAUACUAGCUUAGGAAUCGUACUCAAGUACAACUCGAGUUGUUUCCUUCUAUAUCGACUAGUUCUACUCCGCAUGCGGGUAGAAUACAACAUAAACAAGGUACAGGACACGUCCUAUCCCCUAGCCCAAUACGGACUCCUUGAUGUACACAGCCCCGUGGCCCCGGGUCUGACAAGCCCCCGAGCUCUUCGUAGCUGAGUACUGCAGGCUCUUCGAGUACUUCUGAGGCAAUCUUCGACUUCUUUCGAAGCUCCGUCUUGAAAUUUCUCUUUGAGUACUCUUCUAACUGCAUCGAAGCUAUGAGGUGCUCAUGCCCCGAAUUCUUUCUUCUGUAUGGGGUGCGAUGAAUAAUCGCACUCCAUAUGGAGUAGCCUCGAGCCUUAGGUUGAAUCGAAGAAUCAAGCUGAGGGUCAAACUAGUCUUGAGUCUUUUCUUCUUAUCCUUCGAGUACUUUCGAAAAAUAAGUAGUCGAUGCCACGUGUCUCAUAGCCCCCGAGCCUUGAAUCCAAAUCCCACAAACUUGGAGAUAAGGAUCCGAAAGUCAUGGCAUGCAGUAUUACUCUAAAAUUCCGAAAAAAAACUCUUCGCCUUCUGCAUAGUGAAAUUAAGCCUCCCGCUGGUUUAUUUAACCGCGCGGUGACUUAAGGUUUCUUCUGCACUCUCAGUCUUCAUAUGAGUCGUCUUCGAGUAGUUUUGCAGCGUCCAGCCCCCGAGCUUACGAGCCAGGAGAGCCAAAGGAACCAUGUCGAGUAGUGCGCAUCACCCAGCCCCCAAGCCUGGGAACUAGCGGAACUGUGAUGGCACGCCCUGCUGCCUGGAGGGUUGUUGCUGAAGCUUGAUCUGAAAAAAGACAAUGCAUACAUUAUGCAGCAUAAUGCGAAGAUACCGAGUAGUACUCAGUAAUAAUAUGAAGGAACCAAAAUUUAUUCGGUGUAAAAAUUUCGCUUCUUGCUCUUGCUAGGCCAUUUAAUUUCCCCGGGCAGUUAGCCUGUUACGUUUAAUCACCUGAUCCCUGAUGGCCGUAGACCAUAGCGUAGGGAACUUUGCCGCAUGCACGCGUAGGAGCAUAGGCUUACAAAAGAGUCGAGGUUUCACGGAUUAAGGCGUGUGCUACCCGAGUACUUUAGCAACCGUUAAGAGAAGACAAAGAAGUCGUCAUGCGACAAAGAGGAUGCGCGGUGCGCAUAAAGUAGUCGGCGAUGUGUAGCUCUGGAGGGUUUUGUACCCAUCGAGAGACAUACACGCAUAAGUAGUCGGCAAGUGCGUGUGUGGCAACACGCAAAGAUCUAUACUUCCAUAGGGUGUAGUCCCAUGAAGCCUCCAGCACUCAUAACACAACCUUGUGGCGUAGCCUCCGUAGUCAGUGUCCUAAGGCCGUGGCAAAGCCGCCAGCACUCGGUGCAUUAAGUCUGUGACAGAGCCUCCAGUACUCGGUGCACCAAAGCUGUGGCUGUCGGUCUAACAUCCCAGGAGUAGUCGAUCAGGGCGUAGCCUCCGAGGGUUUCAUGCCCAUCUAGAGGUGUACCCGAAAGGGUAGCCGAUUCUAUGGAGAACAAGUCGAAAAAGGUAAAAAUCACUUAGCUUGAUUCGUGGAUGAAUAUCGACGAAGCCGAGGAGCUCGUUAAUAGAGCUGCGACGGUUUGUUGAUGAAGCUCGACUAGUCGGAGUCGAUUCCGACUAGUUUUCAAGUCGAGACGAGUAGUUGAAGUAAUCGUCGACGAGCUGCCGAUCGUCCUCGCGAAGUCGAAGUAGUCGAACCCGUCGCUGCUGUGCGCGGAUACUACGGCACAAGCCGAAGUUGAACCGGGUUGUCGAGGUCGACGGCCGCGGUGCAUCGACAUUGCAGCGCAAGGCGAAGUCAAGCCGAGUAGUCGAGGUCGAUGUCGCCGUUCGCUGAAGGAUCCGAUAUCGAACUCGAUAAAUCGAUCCACCGAUGCACAUGCAUGAAGGUAGCAAUCCGCCACCUGGUGAACUAGAAAGAUGCCAACGAGUUCGCUGAUGGAUCUUCGACGCGCCCCCUAUCUAGCGCGCCAGCUGUCGGGUUUUAUCCGGCUGCCCACCGAGGGGUAUACCCAAGGCGGUAGGUUUUGGGUUAGGAUGCGCCGAGAUCAGGAACUCGAAGGUGCCGACAACACAAGAUUUAGAUAGGUUCAGGUCACAAUAUGCGUAAUGCCCUACGUCCUGUAUGAUGGUUUGUAUUGCCUUGAUGUUGAUCUGGUGAUCUUGGUUUUGAGGGGGUCCCUGCCCGCCCUUAUAUAUCCGAGAGGACAGGGUUACAUGAAUCCUAGCCUGAUACUAGCUUAGGAAUCGUACUCAAGUACAACUCGAGUUGUUUCCUUCUAUAUCGACUAGUUCUACUCCGCAUGCGGGUAGAAUACAACAUAAACAAGGUACAGGACACGUCCUAUCCCCUAGCCCAAUACGGACUCCUUGAUGUACACAGCCCCGUGGCCCCGGGUCUGACAACAGGAAAUCACUCGACUUCUACCGAUCCUAUUAGCUUAGCAGCUAGUCGGGCUCAAGUUCUAUUAUUCAGUACAUAGUUUUCUAGGAAUAUACAACUAGGGUUUCAAUACAAUUCCUGGAAACUUAAAUGCACAAGUAGAUAUAUAUGAAUAUAUAAUUUGCAGUGUAGUAAAAUAGCGGUUUAUAUUCGGGGCUUGUCUUCGCUGGUGGGGUUGGGGUCAGGGAUGUCAAAAACUUCCAAACCUUGGUUCGGGGCUUCAGUUAAUUCCUCAGCGACGUUCACUUGGUCUUCAGAAAACCUUUGCUCGUGUUCUAGGACUAGUUCGUAGUCCCUGUCGUCGAGUGUCGUUGAUUCUACAUGAUAUGAAAUGAUUUGAAUUAGGUGGUUCUUGAGUUAAGAAUUUUACUUUACAAUAAAGUUGCAAUCUAACAAUAGAUAAACACAACUUCAUAAUACAAGAAAUUUGAAUUCAACCCUACUAUUGGUAUCUUAAUUCAAUUAUCAUAAUCAAUUGAAUUAAUUGAAUUAGGUUAACAAGUUUGAUUUUUAUUUUGAAAUCCACAAAGGUUAUGGCCUUGAAUUUUUGUGGGUAAGCUUGCUUUUAGCAGAUAAGCUUACUAUGAAUUUUUCAUAAUUUUUUGAAAAUAGAAACUAAAGCAGUUGAAUUAAGAUCAAAUUUCAAGUUUAAAUUCAAACCUUAGACAAAACAGUGCCAUAAAUUCUUGAAAGAUUUACUAUGAAUUACUCAAUUAUAGAAUAUCCCAUGGUAAUAAGAUCUAAGCAUGAAAACCUUAGUAAUGGGCUUGAAUAAAUUUAAACCAUUUCAAGCUUGAUUUGAAUAAGUUUAAAUUAGUUCAAGCUAGGGUUCAGUACUGUAAGUGAAAUUUUCACAUAAGCUCACUCAUACCCUAAACAGGCUACACACCAAAAAUCACAAACAAUAGAGCUAGCAUGCAAAAGUUACACAAAAGAUACCCUUUUGCUAAACUUUAAAAUAGCUCAAAAUGCAUUUGGUUUCACAUUAGACAUUAGUAACAAAAGUUGUAGAAUUUACUUCAAGGAUUCAAACAAACUGGUUUGACAUUUUUUUGAGUUUCCUACGAAUUUCUACAAAUUUCUAAAGAACACUAAUUUUGAAUUGAGGGGAGGGAUUGGAAUCUUGCAGCCAGACCCUUAGAAAGAUUUAGAUCAAAGCAAUUGGGUCCUUGGCUCAUCGGGGGAGGAAGCCAAGAAUUGCCGGCCAAAUUCCGGCGACGCUGGUCACCGGCGGCGAGGGGGAAGUGGCUAGGGAGGACCAGGGGGCUUGCGCGGGCUUAGAUGGGGGUAAUGUGAUGGUCGGGGUUGACCGGAGGGGGUGGAACGGCGGUGAACCGAGGCGGCGGCAAUAGAGCUCAACUACAACGGCGGUGUUCCAGCGUAGCGGCUCACCGGCGGUGGACCGGAUGUAGGGGGAAAGCUCCAGGGAAGUAAGGCAAUUCGAUUGAUCACCUCGGUGAGAGCUAGGAUGGCCGGAGGGGUGAGUUACCACGGCAACCCGGGACGGCGGCGAGGGGAGGAGCUCGUCGGCGAGGGGGAUGCAGUGCUCAAGGGCGGCGAUGAAGGGGCUGGUGAGCUUCACAGGAUCACGGCGAAGCUACUGGAGGGGCUAUCGUAGAUCGGAAGAGGCUGGGGCGAGCUGGCGACGGCGCGGUGGACGAUGGCAGACAGCGAGCGCGGCGGUGGUCCAGUGGAGAAGAAGUCGAGAAAACAAACGACGGUCGUGGGAGUGGAUAUAAGUAGUUGAAACGAGUUCCUGGUCCUGCUGUGGAACUAAGAAGAGGCACGAUGAGCAGUAGCUACUGCUGGCGGCCGACGACGGGCGUGGCGGCCGGGCGGAGCUCGGGCAGAGGCGGGGCGACGUGCAGUGCGCGGAAGAAGUCCAGAGGGGAGGAGCUAGAACGGCGGCUGGCUUGGAGACGACACGUGGGUGCUGCCAGAAGCAGGAGAUGGCACUGACAGGGCUGGAGCGGCGGUGAGCGGUGGCGGUCUGCGGCGGCAGAGAGGGGGGGCAGCUAGGGCGGACGGCAGAGCGUCGUGGCGUGCUCGGGGAGGGCCAGCAGGAGGGAGGUGAGGCGCUGGGCGAGCUCAGGGGCGACGCGUGGAGCGGCGCUGGAGCAGGAGGUAGCCUCGGGCGACGCAGCACGGCGACCUGCGGUGCCGCUGCUGCGUGGCAGAGGAGGAAGAAGAAGGGGGGGGGGGCGCUAGGGGCUAAAUUAUGAACUUUAAAACUCCAGGGACCUUACUAUAAAUCAAAAUUUCCCACUGAUCUAAGGCUUAAAUGAGAAAAUAGUCAAAAUAAAAGUUGUAGAACUUUUCAAACCAUUCAACUUUUAUUUAGGGUUUAAAAUUAAAAACUCAAAGGAUAGAACUUUAUUUAAAAACUUUGGACUCAACUCAAACUUUUCAAAGUUUUUGUCCUUAGUUAGGAAAUUUUCAUGUAUUUUUGGACUUAAUUGCAAGUUUUAUGCACUGCAAUGAUGACUAACAUUUUUACACUUUGACCCCUAGUGAAAUUUAAGAGUUACCUUUGUAAUUCAAACAUUCUACACAAAAGAACUCAUAUUUUUGAAAUAAUUACUCACAAGUCCUUAUUGCCACACAUUCAUCUAAUUUCACUCAAUCCAAUACACACAUUACACAUUCCUUCCUAGUGUUUUAAAAUUUUGACACCUAGGGUGUCACACUAUUCUAUAUCUUCCACAGUGGAAGUAUAUGAACUCUUGCGUUUAUGCCAUAGAAGGGAUCAAGCUUGAGGACAUCCCUGUCGUAUGUGAGUACCCAGAUAUUUUUCCGGAUGAUUUACCCAGGAUGCAUCCUGAUAGGGACAUUGAGUUUAUUAUAGAAUUACAACCCGGUACAGCCCCCAUCUCUAAAAGACCCUAUCGUAUGCCAUCCAAUGAGCUAGCAGAAUUGAAAGUUCAACUUCAGGACCUUCUUGAUAAAGGUUUUAUUCAUCCAAGUGCUUCACCAUGGGGAUGCCCAGCCCUGUUUGUGAAGAAAAAGGACCAUAGCCUUAGACUAUGUGUGGACUAUCGCCCCCUCAAUACAGUAACCAUCAAAAACAAAUAUCCUCUUCCCUGCAUUGACAUCUUGUUCGAUCAAUUAGCCGAAGCCAAGGUAUUCUCCAAAAUUGACCUUCGCUCUGGAUAUCACCAGAUAAAGAUAAAGCCCAACGACAUCCCAAAAAUAGCAUUCUCCACCAGAUAUGGACUUUAUGAAUAUCUAGUUAUGUCCCUUGGUCUUACCAACGCAUCAGCAUAUUUCAUGUAUCUCAUGAACUCUGUCUUUAUGCCGGAGCUCGAUAAAUUUAUCGUAGUAUUCAUCGACGAUAUUCUGACCUAUUCCAAAAAUUCUCCAAUUGUGAGACAUCUUCAUAUUAUUCUUUAGAGAUUGUGAGAACACCACUUGUAUGCCAAAUUCUCCAAAUGUGAAUUUUGGCUAGAUACAGUUAAAUUUUUGGGUCACACCAUCUCCAGUGAUGGCAUAUCUGUUGAUCUGAGUAAAGUCCAGGAAGUGAUGGAUUGGAAGCCCCCUACUUUAGUCCAUCAGAUCCAUAGUUUUCUUGGUCUUGCUAGCUAUUAUCAUCAUUUCAUCCUUGACUUCUCUAAAAUAGCCAAGCCAAUGACAGAAUUGCUGAAGAAAGGAGUUAAAUUUUCCUGUAAUGAGAAAUGUGAAGAAGCAUUCCACACUCUAAGAGCACACCUCACUACUGCUCCAGUUUUGGCUCAGCCAGAUAAUUCCAAACCUUUUGAUAUCUAUUGUGAUGCGUCGUGCAUCGGACUUGGUUGUGUACUCAUGCAAAACAACCGAGUAAUUGCUUAUGCCUCACGAGCACUCAGGACUCAUGAACAGAACUAUCCUACCCAUGAUCUUGAGCUUGCAGCCGUUAUCCAUGCGCUUAAGAUCUGGAGACAUUAUCUUAUGGGUACUAAGUGCAACAUCUAUACUGACCAUAAGAAUCUCAAGUACACUUUUACACAAGCAAAUCUAAAUAUGAGACAAAGACGUUGGCUAGAGCUUAUAAAAGAUUAUGAUCUAGAAGUGCACGAUCAUCCAGGCAAGGCCAAUGUGGUUGCGGAUGCACUUAGCUACAAAGCGCAUAGCUAUUGUUUAUCAAUAGAAGCCUUUAGUGAAACUCUCUGCUGGGAAAUGUGAAAGCUCAAUUUUGAGAUUAUUCCUCAAGGUAGUUUGAAUCAUAUAGCAGUUGAACCCACACUUCAAGAUAGUAUCAUUAUAGCACAACUACAUGAUAAAGGAGUCAAAAUCAUCAAGCAACAGCUAGCCCAGGGAUAAGAAAAGUAUAAGUGUUUUUAAGUAGAUCAAAAAGGAAUUCUAUGGUUCAAGGGACGUAUUGUUGUACCCAAGGACCAUCAGCUUCGUAAGCAAAUUCUGGACGAGGCACAUCUGUCCAAGUUCUCUAUGCACCCUGGCAGUACCAAAAUGUAAGAAGACCUGAGAUAGAACUUUUGGUGGACUCGCAUGAAAAGAGAAAUUAUAAGAUAUGUCUCUAAGUGUGAUAUUUGCCAAAGAGUUAAAGCCAGUCACUUAAAGAUUGCUGGUGUUCUUCAACCUUUACCCAUUCCUUCUUGGAAGUGGGAAGAUAUCAGCACGGAUUUUAUCGUUGGCUUACCCAACACUUCCCAGAAGCAUGAUUCUAUUUGGGUAAUCGUUGAUCGAUUAACCAGAACUGCCCAUUUCCUUCCUGUGCAUACUAAUUACAAUGCAGAGAUCUAUCUAGACCAAAACUUUCGUCUCCAUGGAAUACCUAAGAUGAUCAUCUCUGAUCGUGGAGCACAGUUCAUUGCCCAUUUCUGGGAGCAACUCCAACACUCUCUUGGAACCAAAUUAAUUCGAAGCUCCACAUAUCAUCCACAAACAGACGGACAAACGGAAAGGAUAAAUCAAAUCCUAGAGGAUAUGCUUAGAGCCUGUAUAAUUCAAUAUGACAAAAAUUGGGACAAAUGCUUAGCUUUGGUAGAAUUCUCCUAAAAUAAUAGUUAUCAGUCGAGUCUCAAAAUGGCUCCUUUUGAAGCAUUAUACGGUCGCCGAUGCCGAACUCCUUUGAGUUGGUCUCAAACUGGCGAACAUAAAAUCUUUGGACCCGAUCUUAUCACUGAAGCAAAAGAAAAGGUGAAGAUCAUUCAAAAUAAUCUUAAGGCAGCCCAAUCUCGAUAAAAGAACUACACGGACAAAUGAAGGAAACCAUUGUAGUUUGAAGUUGGUGAUUUUGUAUAUCUAAGGGUAUCUCCUACCUGAGGUGUUCAACGGUUUGGUAUGAAAGGAAAACUCGCUCCUCGAUAUGUUGGACCUUUUGAAAUUCUAAAAACUUGUGGACCCGUAGCUUAUCGUCUUCAACUUCCUUUUCAGCUAGCAGCCAUUCAUAAUAUCUUCCAUGUAUCUCAGCUUAAGAAAUGCAUCAAAAUCCCUACCGAGGUUAUCAAUUUCCAAACCAUUAAAAUUGAGCCAGACCUAUCUUAUACCGAACGUCCGAUCCAAAUAGUUAGGAUGUUUAAGAUCCAAUGGAACCAUCACACUGAAGAAGAAGUGACUUGGGAAACUGAAUCUUAUCUUCAGCAUAACUUUCCAGACUUCCUUAGAGCCAAACCAAGUAUCUAAUCUUCCAAUUCCAUCCUGUUCCGAAAUCUCGAGACGAGAUUCUUUUUAGGGAGGGAGGCUAUGACAUUUCAGGUACUUAGGAGCUAGGCACACUAAUUUCUAGUAUGAAGUUAUGCUUGUUAGUGUGAAGUUUGUGUUUGUUUUGAUGAAUGCCUUUAACAAUUUAAAUACACGUUAAAGGGUAUUUUUGUAAUAUUGGGAAAAAUUAGGGUUCUUUUUGUAAAUUGUGUAUAAAUGGGAGGUAAUUUCAAAAAUGUAUGAAGGGUUGAUUUGCAAAUGUGAGUUUUCACUCUUUAACCACUGUAAGAAGUGUAAAUACUCCAAGGUUUCAUUGAAAGGGUAAAAUUUAUUUUGGAUUUUUUUGAAAUUGAAUGAUUUGUUGUUUUUUAAAAAUAAUUUCAAAAUCCUAACUAUUUUGAAGUUGGACCCUAAACCAAAUGGUAGAUCCUUUUAAGCUCUACAUUUGUUAUUUUGGGCAUAUUUUCAUUAGAACUAUAGUUUGGAAGGAAAUUUUACUUUACACUGAACUCCUUGAACUUUUGCAAAAUUUACUAACAGGUCCUUGUCUUCUUCCUCCUGCUUCCCCCUCUAUGUUUCUCUGCAGCGCCGCCCACCACCCAUCGCUGGCGUUUUCCCCAGCCGCCAGCUGCCCCCUCGCCGCUCUUCCUGCGCCACGUGGCCCCCAGCUCGCCCGCCCGCCGCUUAACCGACCCCGCUGGCUCCUCCUCGUGCGGACACGUCGCGCCGUUGCCCGCCCGAGCCACCACGCGCGCUGUCGACCGCCAGCAGCUGCUUGGCGCCCACCCGCUCGCCUCUUUUUAGCCUGGGAACGUGCCUAGUGAACUUCUCCUUUCUUCUAUCCCCUCGCACGCACGCGCAUUCUUGUUUCUUUUCCCCGUCAACUACUUCACCGGAGCUCCUCUGUCCACUGCCGUCAACCGUCUCCGCCGCUCCUCCUCUCCAAUUUUGUGCUCCACCAGCACCGCCACAUCUCAUUGCCCCUUCCUGAUCCGCUCUUCUUCCUCCUUCCGCGCACGUGCAGCCUAGAACGCCGCGCUGGCGAUCUCACUCUCCACCGCCGUUCUAAUUCUAGUCGAACCGAAGUUCCACCCCUUCUCCUUCACCAAGAGCACCAUCAGCACUACAUCUCCACGCCGAAGCUCCCUGACCAAUUUUCUUCGCCUUCUUGCACUCCAGUCGUCGGACCACCGUCGCCGCCCUCGGAACCUCGCCGCGCCGGCUCUGUUUCUAGUCGAACCGCUGCCUCCGAGCUUCCCUUCUAUGAUUCCAACCACCCCCAAGUCCGCUGUGAGCUCCUGAACCUUAUUCCCCACCUUCCCCUCACCGCCAAUAAGCCUCCUUGUUGAAUUUUGAUCGCCGCCGCUCGACUUCUUCUGUUCAAGUCUCUGAAUCCAAAUCCCAAGGUUUGAAAGAUAUUAACAUCACUAACCCCAGCCUCACCAGUGAAGGCAAGCCCCAGUGCAUAACCCAGUAUUUUAAAUUAUGCACUUAUAUCGUUAUAUAUCUAUCUUGUGCAUUAAGUGCUAGGAGUUGUUAUGAAACCCUAGUUGCAUGAAACCUAGGAACCUAUGUAAUGUUUCCGAGUCCUUAUCGAGUAGAUGCUCUGCUAAUAGGACCGGCAGAAGUCUAGUGAUUUCCUGUCACUCGCGCGAUGUCACACCCAAUUUAUAAAGAACAUAAAUCGAGCCAUCAUAUAUGCGCCAGGAUCAAGUCACGCAUAUAUACAACAGAAUAAUCAAGAUAUCACAACACAUAUCACGAAUGACAUUAAUAUAAAUCGUAAAUGAAUUAUUUUAUUACAACCGAAUCAAGAAUCGGUUCAAGAGUUGCGGAAGCGUAAAAGAGAUACAUGAAGAGCUGGGCGCCACAGGGACGUCGACUGGAAGACAAACGCCUAGAAGUCGUCGAAGCCGCUGACGUAGUCCUCCACGUUGCCGGGCACUGAGCAGCAGUCGAAGAUAUCCAAGAGAACAGAAGAGUAGAAAGGCAAGAGUGAGUACAACUCGUACUCAACAAGUAUAACACAAACUAUGAGGCUCUAAGGUUGGCUGACUCGACUGCAUUAGCUUUUAGUCUUGGCAGAAUUUUAUUAAAGCUAAUUACUACAAGUGGAUGAAUUACCAUAAACCCGAAUUGCAUAAUAAAUUAUUCAAUAUUAAUUAAGAACUACUGAGAACCAUCCAAACCAAAACCACCCGGGGAAAUCUCCCUAAUCAAAGGUUGAUAACCCCACUAAUCAAAAGGAGGAUCUGGGCCACUCAUGACUGUGAGCACAGCUGAUAUAUCAGUUUUACACUCUCGAGAGGUUGCAUAACUUUACCCACAAGUCGUGAGCUAUGCUAGUUGUUCAUCACACUUCCUUAGGUGAGAUGGCUAGCAAGCACACUACGAGACCGUUACACAGGAUCACGUUGGUAAGGUGUAACCGCUAAGGUUUCUGGAUCAGCGACGAUGGGGCCCACCUCCGGGGGUACAAGACACACAGCACAGACCAAGCCGGAGGAGCAGGGACCAUUGAAGCUUACCACCCCUCUUGCCCACGCAGGUAAGUUACUCCCGAACCAACACGACCUAAUUAGUAAGUCAAGACCGUCCCAUUCCAGUCUUGUGGUUGCGCGGUUGUCCCAGGUUGUCGCUCUAUGAACCGGUCCUUAUGGAGAGUGGCCAACCAAGCACUAAGCACCGUGCUGGCCCCCUAAACCUUGUUUCUACAAAAACAUAUUUUUAAGGACGCGCAAACCACUCAAGCACACAGCACAGAGGGUCGGCUCCAGAAUUAAGUUGCAUAUACCAUUAAUCAAAUUUAAUUAAAAAGGACCAAUUGUGAGAGCGCAGCACCUAGCAAAACUAACCACAAUGCAACCCAAAGGAUAUAUAUAAAGGAUAUAAAGGUGGCUAGGAAAUCCUUAUGGGCGUACAGAAUUAAAAUGCAGUAUGAAAUUGUAUUUAAAAGUGAUAGGAUGUUCAUGUUAUAUUUGCCUUCCUCAAAGUUCUCCUGCUGCUGCUCAAAAGCUUCAGAAGAUGGUGGCUCCUGGUACUCGUCCAAAGGCUCCGCGUCUACUCACGAUCACCAAGCAUGGUCCACACAUACACACAUGCACAGACAAUAGCAAACUAUAAAAAAAACAGUACACCAAUAUAAUAGAACAGCACACAAAACUAGCCUAGAACUAUUCUACGCGUUACAACGAUCACGUGGACAUAAAGAACACCUAAAACGGAGCUAAAACGCGAAAUCUACGCUUGAAACAAGAUCCAGGGACCUUUCUGCGAGAAAAACUGGCUACAGGGGGUUCUGGACAAAAACCAGGGGCUUAAACGUAAUUAAAGGGUAGACACAGGGGCUAACACAUGAAAACACAAGGCAUGGACUGCGGGCACUAAUUCCAGGAAGCUCAAGGGUCAAAAUGGAAGAAAAGGACCUGUCUGCGAAUACUUUUGAACUAGAGAUGGACGGCGGGUUAAUUCCCCAAAAGGGCAGGGGCUCUUUAACAAAACUGCCAUGGCUGAGGGGGGGUACGCGGUUUCUAAUCUGGGCGGUUGGAUCUAAAUCGAACGGUUCGGCGCAUUCCGGUUCGGACGAUCCGAUCUGAACAGCGGGGGUCCGGACGGUCCGAUCUGGACAGCGUGGUUCGGACUGGUCCGAUCCGGUAGAGCGCGGCCGGCGGCGGGGGGGGGGGGGUGUCGCUGGAGAUCGGUUUCCGUGGCGGCGCGCCGCCGGAGCUGGGCAAAAUCAAUGCUCCGGGGGUCAAAUCAAACGGGGAUUGGGUCUGGAAGGUUCAGCGCGACUUGGGGAAACCACCUAAGGAUAAGGCGGAACGCGGGAAGGGCUCAGGCUGUGCGCACGACGACGGGGGUGGGUCGGCACGGCGGUGCAUCGCCGGCGCGCGCGUUCCGGUCUAAGAGAGGGCUAAAGAUCUACGACAUCUAGUGCAAAAAGGACCAAGGAAUGGCGGGAAAGCUCACCAGGUCUCGUGGUGGCCGGAGCUACAGCGGAAGAUGGUCGGCGACGAGGUCCGAGCGGCGGAACAGGCGGCGCUUGUGGGGAAGGCUCCUGCAGAGAGGCUCGAGGUCCCUUGGACGCGCGGAUCGGUCGGGGAACUCCCUGCAGAGGUAACCAGGGGGUUAAGAUGGAUCAGGAUGCAACGACGAUGAGGAAUUCCGACGGCGGAGCGGCUCACCGUCGAAGGUUCCUUCGGGAAAUUCGGUCGAUGCCGAGGCAUAGGGCUUCGAUGCUGGGCUAGCGGAGCUUCGGGAUGGCGAGAGGGAGCGGACCCGGGGUUGUGGUGGUCUGGGGUGCAGCGGAACGGCCGGUCGGCGGUGAGGCCGAGGCGUCUGCGCGGCGGAGGGAAGAAGGAGGCGGCGGCGCUGCGGUUCUCCAGAGGUGCUGCUGCGGCUAGGUUUAGGGUUCUAGGGCGCGGAACCUUCUUGUAGGGCAGCGGCCCACAUUGGCAUGCGGGCCCGAAGCGAGAGAGCUCGCCGGAAGUUUCGGGGGCCGUUGCGCGGCCGGUAGAGGAAGAAGGAAGAAGGGGCCGACAGGUGGGGUCGAGCUGGGGAAAUGACUGAGAAAGAAGGAAUGACUGAGAAUAGAAGGAAUGACUGAGAAUAGAAGGAAUGACUGAGAGAAAAGAAGGAAUGAUUGAGAGAAAAGAAGGAAUGACUGAGAAUAGAAGGAAUGACUGACCUACUUUCCUGUCUCCUCCCUUUUCUUUUUCAAACCAACUCGAUUCUAUUUGAAUUCAACCCCUAUGCACUCAACCAAAUAAAACUUAUGCACCAGCAUGAAUGCACAAACAUGUUGAACCUAAAAUAAAUUUUAAUUCUUUGUGAAUUAAAUUAUAAAUAAAUGCAAGCUAGGCAAAAUAAAUCCUUAAAAAAUUACUGGAGCCCAUUUAAAUUCAUUAUAGAUCUCGAAAUUUUACCUUAGGAUGUUACAAACCUACCCCCCUUACAGGAAUCUCGUCCUGAGAUUCGAAUAGGCUAGCUAGCAAAGAGAUCGGGAUAUGUCUUCCGUAGCUCAUCUUCUCGCUCCCAAGUAGCCUCAUCCUCCGUGUGAUGACUCCACUGAACACGGCACAUCUUGAUCCUCUUGUUUCUGGUAACUCUCUCGGAUGUCUCCAGAAUCUUCACCGGAUGCUCGAUGUAAGUCAAAUCUUCCUGCACAUCUAACCCUUCCAGCGGUGCUUGCUCUUCUGGCACCCUCAAGCACUUCUUCAGCUGAGAUACAUGGAACACAUCGUGCACUCCUGAGAGGUUGGGAGGCAACUCCAAACGAUAUGCUACCUCACCUUUCCGUUCCAACACCUUGAACGGACCAAUGUAUCGAGGGGCUAGCUUCCCUCUCACAAUAAACCUGCGGAUUCCUCUCAUCGGCGAGACCUUCAGGUACACAUGAUCACCCACUGCAAAGGUCAAAUCUCGACGACGAAUAUCCGCGUAGCUCUUCUGACGAGUCUGAGCGACCCUCAGAUUCUCUCGCACCUGUUGUACCAGCUGCUCUGCCUCUUCCACAAUAUCCAGACCAAACACCUGCCUCUCGCCAAUCUGAUCCCAAUACAGUGGAGUCCUGCAUUUCCGGCCAUACAGAGCCUCGAAAGGAGAUUUCUUCAGACUGGACUGAUAACUAUUGUUAUACGAAAACUCUACAUACGGCAAGCAUUUAUCCCAGCUGGUACCAUACUGGAUAGCGCAGGCUCGAAGCAUAUCCUCCAACACUUGGUUGGUCCUUUCUGUCUGCCUAUCUGUAUGAGGAUGAUAGGCGGUACUGAAACGCAGCUUCGUAUCCAACGAAUCAUGCAACUGCUCCCAGAACCAUGAAGUGAACUGAGAUCCUCGAUUAGAUAUGAUCUUCUUUGGAACACCAUGCAGACAGACGAUCCUGGAGAUGUACAACUCUGCGAGUCUAGCGCCGGAGUAAGUAGUGUUCACCGGAAUGAAAUGAGCAACCUUCGUCAACCGGUCCACUACUACCCAUAUGGAGUUGUACCCUUUCUGAGUACGAGGCAAGCCAACGAUGAAAUCCAUAGUGAUUUCCUCCCAUUUCCACUCUGGAAUCUUCAACGGCUACAAUAACCCUGCUGGCCUCUGAUGCUCUGCCUUGACACGCUGACAAGUGUCACAGAUAGCCACGUACUCCGCAACGGAACGCUUCAUUCCAUACCACCAGAAUCGUUCCUUCAGGUCAUAAUACAUCUUCGUACUGCCUGGAUGGAUAGAAUAUGCUGUAUCAUGAGCCUCACUCAAGAUCAGCUUCCUGAGGUCAUUCACAUCCGGCACACAUAUACGACCCUUGUACCACAAGGUACCCUGAUCAUCCUCUCUGAAAUGAGGGGCUUUACCAAUCUUAAGCAAUUCACGGAUCUCCUGCAGCUUCUUGUCAUCUUUCUGAUGCUGCCUGAUCUCAGCCUCUAGAGUGGGUUCUGCCUCGAAUGAUGUACCCGAGGUGUGAUGCAAGAAACCCAGACUCAACUGCUCAAACUUCUCGCAUAACUCCUGAGGCAUUUGAAAAGCCACGGCCAUGUUAACAUAGCUCUUCCUGCUCAGAGCAUCUGCUACAACAUUGGCCUUGCCCGGAUGAUAGUGAAUCUCCAGGUCAUAAUCCUUGACCAAUUCUAGCCAUCUUCUCUACCGCAUGUUCAACUCACUCUGUGUGAAAAUAUACUUGAGGCUCUUGUGAUCAGUGUAAAUAUCACACUUUUCCCAAAGAAGUAAUGCCUCCAUAUUUUCAGAGCAUGCACAAUUGCGGCUAACUCCAAAUCAUGAGUGGGAUAAUUCAGCUCAUGCCGGCACAACUGCCGCGAGGCAUAAACUAUCACUCUGCCUUCCUGCAUCAGGACACAACCAAGACCAUCCCUCGAAGCAUCACAAUACACUGUGAACCUCUUGCUCUGGUCUGGCAGAGUAAGGACUGGCGCCGUAGUCAGCCUCUUCUUCAGCUCCUCGAAGGGACUCUGACGCUCAUCAGUACAAGAGAAAUCAACUCCCUUCUCUAGCAAGGAAGUCAAAGGCUUCGCAAUCUUGGAGAAAUUCUCAAUGAACCUCCGAUAAUAUCCUGCUAAGCUCAAGAAAGAGCGGACUUCCUUCACUAUCUGCGGUACAACCCAGUCAAGCACAUCCUUCACCUUCCCGGGGUCCACAACAAUACCUCCCUUGGAGAUAACAUGACCGAGGAAUGGGACCUCGUCAAUCCAGAAUUCGCACUUGCUGAGCUUGGCAUACAGCUUGUGCUCUCUGAGCCUCUGCAACACAAGCCUCACAUGCUUCUCAUGCUCUGCUUCUGACUUGGAAUAUAUCAGGAUAUCAUCAAUGAAUAUCACCACAAAGGUGUCCAGAUAAUCCAUGAAAACCUUAUUCAUCAGAUGCAUGAAGAAAGCCGAAGCAUUGGUCAAACCAAAAGACAUGACCGUAUACUCGUAUAGCCCAUACUUGCAAGUGAAUGCCGUCUUCGGAAUAUCCUCAGAACGAAUCUUCAGCUGGUGAUAGCCCGAACGCCGAUCAAUCUUCGAGAAUACACAAGCACCCUGAAGCUGAUCAAAGAGAUCCUCAAUACGAGGCAAGGGAUGCUUAUUCUUGAUGGCAACUGCAUUCAGAUCCCGAUAAUCGACGCACAUUCUCUUCGCGCCAUCCUUCUUCUCUACAAGCAAUACAGGAAAAGCCCAAGGAGAGAAACUGCGAUGGAUAUAGCCCUUGGCUAGCAACUCGUCGAUGGUCUUCUUAACUUCCUCAUGCUCAACGGGAGCCAUACGAUAGGGCCGCUUGGCAAUAGGAGCUGUGCCAGGCAAGAGAUCAAUAGAAAACUCAAUGUCGCGAUCAGGCGGCAUACCUGGCAAAUCAUCCGGAAAGACAUCCGGGAAUUCAGACACCACGCGAAUACCAUCCGUGGGUCUAGCCUCCAUCUGAUGAAGAAAUCCAGAAGGUUCUGUAGCUCCAACAGUGACCUCCUGACCAUCUGGUGCUGACAGAAGAACCGUCCUCUGAGCACAAUCUAUCCGAACUCCCCACUUAGCAAGAGUCUCCAUCCCGAGGAUCACAUCAAUGCCCUUGGUGUCUAGCACCAUCAGAUUCGCACUGAACUCUACCCCCCUUAUGACCACACUAACUCUGGGACAGAAGAUAUGAGACCUCAACUGCCCUCCCGGUGAAGAUACUAACAUGCAUCUCUUUAAUGUGCUAGUAGGAAUGCCAUGAUGCUCAACAAAAGACUGGGUGAUGAAAGAAUGCGUAGCACCAGUAUCAAAAAGCACUGUAGCAGGAUGGGUGUUGACCAUGAACGUACCAAUAACCACGUUAGGAGCCUCGGCCGCUGACUCGGCCGUCACGUGGUUCACCCUGCCCUGAGCUGGGGCCUUGGGCUGAGCUGCACGCCCCUGCUGUCCUGACUGUGCCUUCUGGGGGCAGACGUUGGCGUAGUGUCCCGGCUCGCCGCAGUGGAAGCACACUCGCGGAAAUGCAGCGGCCUGCUGCCCGGCAGGAGGAGGGGGCACUCCCUGCCUCUAAGCUGGUGGAGCCGGAGGCGCUGGAAGCCUCUAUCCCUGUCCUGCCUGCUGCUGAGGAUGGGGAGGAUACUGUUGCCACUGCUGGUACUGCUGGGGCGGUCUCUGCUGCUGCUGCUGCUGCGGAUGCUGAUAGCGGGGUCGAGUGUUGCUGCCCGAAGAGGAUGGAGCCAUCUUCCUCUUCUUAUCCUCAAUCUCCCGGCGCUUACGCUCGGUGUUGAGGGCAGCAUCAACCAGCUGGUUGAAGUUGUCGAAGUGGUGGUUCAGCAGCGCAUACUGGAUGUGAUCAUCCAGCCCUUCCUUGAAAUACUCCUGCUUGUCGCUAUCACGGGCGACGUCAGCAGGGGCAUAGCGGGCAAGCUGAAGGAAACGGUCACGGUACUCCGUCACCGUCAUCGAUCCCUGCUUAAGGGCACGGAACUCCUUCUGCUUCAUCUUCAUAAUGCCCUCAGGAAUGUGAUGGUUCCUGAAGCGCUCACGAAACUGGACCCAGGUGAGAGAGUCGCGGUCCUGAAACGGGUAGGACUCCCACCAGUCGAGAGCGGAGCCUCGUAGCUGCCCUGCGGCGUACAGAACCCUCUCCCGGUCGUCGCACUGCGCAACAACCAACUGGCGCUCCACCGAACGAAGCCAGUCGUCCGCCUGGAGUGGGUCUGUGGCGUGAGAGAAGGUCGGCGGGUGACCUCUCAGGAAAUCCGCAUGCCGAUCGCGGGGCUGAGGCGGCGGAGGAGGCGGGGGCUGGGCGUGGAUAUGCUCCAGAGCCUGAACAGUAUUGUUCAGGGUAGCCAUCAUCUGCAUCUGGAGCUGGAAGAACUGCUCCGGGGUCAGUGGUGGCGGCAUCGGCAGCGGCUGACCAGUACCCUGGUUGUUCUGCUCCUGCUGGUCAGAAUCGGAACCGAUGCGCCUGGUGUUCACCAUCUGAUUGCAGCAACGAAAUUUUAUGAGAACAAGAUAUUGUGCAGCUGCGGAAAUAAAACUUCGGCAGGAUAUGACCGAGAGAAAGGAGUAUAGGUUUUACCACCAACAUUAUAACUAAAUUUUAUUAUUUAGUUCAAGUUGUGUUAGGGUCGGUUUGCAGGAACAAGUUUAACUACUAGUCUAUGCAAUCAACCAAAAAUCCAAAUCAAACAUUUGCACAAUAACAAACAUUCAAUGUUCACAACUUAGUCGAGUUUAUCACACCACUCGACUAACAUACUCGUUCUAGCGUAUUUUCAUCAGGACAACCUAGACUUAUAAUUUACAGGAUUAGGCGACUCAGGCCAACGUCUACGGAAAACUCAAGCUAUUUCUCAGAAAAGGCAGGAGAGAUAGCGAAUCAAAGGGCUUAGGAUUCAAGGAAUAGAGGCAGGAAAUGAUUUUAGGAGGUUUGCGGAAGCAAGGCAAGAGAAAAGAAGUCCUAAACUCGACCGAUUCUAUCUAGGUUUCAUCCUACAGUCGAUAUGGCUCUGAUACCAAUCUGUCACACCCGAUUUAUAAAGAACAUAAAUCGAGCCAUCAUAUAUGCAUCAGGAUCAAGUCACGCAUAUAUACAACAGAAUCAUCAAGAUAUCACAACACAUAUCACGAAUGACAUUAAUAUAAAUCGUAAAUGAAUUAUUUUAUUACAACCGAAUCAAGAAUCGGUUUAAGAGUUGCGGAAGCGUAAAAGAGAUACAUGAAGAGCUGGGCGCCACAGGGACGUCGACUGGGAGACAAAUGCCUAGAAGUCGUCGAAGCCGCUGACGUAGUCCUCCACGUUGCCGGGCACUGAGCAGCAGUCGAAGAUAUCCAAGAGAAUAGAAGAGUAGAAAGGCAAGAGUGAGUACAACUCGUACUCAACAAGUAUAACACAAACUAUGAGGCUCUAAGGUUGGCUGACUCGACUGCAUUAGCUUUUAGUCUUGGCAGAAUUUUAUUAAAGCUAAUUACUACAAGUGGAUGAAUUACCAUAAACCCGAAUUGCAUAAUAAAUUAUUCCAUAUUAAUUAAGAACUACUGAGAACCAUCCAAACCAAAACCACCCGGGGAAAUCUCCCUAAUCAAAGGUUGAUAACCCCACUAAUCAAAAAGAGGAUCUGGGCCGCUCAUGACUGUGAGCACAGCUGAUAUAUCAGUUUUAUACUCUCGAGAGGUUGCACAACUUUACCCGCAAGUCGUGAGCUACGCUAGUUUUUCAUCACACUUCCUUAGGUGAGAUGGCUAGCAAGCACACUACGAGACCGUUACAAAGGAUCACGUUGGUAAGGUGUAACCGCUAAGGUUUCUGGAUCAGCGACGAUGGGGCCCACCUCCGGGGGUACAAGACACACAGCACAGACCAAGCCGGAGGAGCAGGGACCAUUGAAGCUUACCACCCCUCUUGCCCACGCAGGUAAGUUACUCCCGAACCAACACGACCUAAUUAGUAAGUCAAGACCGUCCCAUUCUAGUCUUGUGGUUGCGCGAUUGUCCCAGGUUGUCGCUCUAUGAACCGGUCCUUAUGGAGAGUGGCCAACCAAGCACUAAGCACCGUGCUGGCCCCCUAAACCAUGUUUCUACAAAAACAUAUUUUUAAGGACGCGCAAACCACUCAAGCACACAACACAGAGGGUCGGCUCCAGAAUUAAGUUGCAUAUACCAUUAAUCAAAUUUAAUUAAAAAGGACCAAUUGUGAGAGCGCAGCACCUAGCAAAACUAACCACAAUGCAACCCAAAGGAUAUAUAUAAAGGAUAUAAAGGUGGCUAGGAAAUCCUUAUGGGCGUACAGAAUUAAAAUGCAGUAUGAAAUUGUAUUUAAAAGUGAUAGGAUGUUCAUGUUAUACUUGCCUUCCUCAAAGUUCUCCUGCUGCUGCUCAAAAACUUCAGAAGAUGGUGGCUCCUGGUACUCGUCCAAAGGCUCCGCGUCUACUCACGAUCACCAAGCAUGGUCCACACAUACACACAUGCACAGACAAUAGCAAACUAUAAAAAAAACAGUACACCAAUACAAUAGAACAGCACACAAAACUGGCCUAGAACUAUUCUACGCAUUACAACGAUCACGUGGACAUAAAGAACACCUAAAACGGAGCUAAAACGCGAAAUCUACGCUUGAAACAAGAUCCAGGGACCUUUCUGCGAGAAAAACUGGCUACAGGGGGGUUCUGGACAAAAACCAGGGGCUUAAACGCAAUUAAAGGGUAGACACAGGGGCUAACACGUGAAAACACAAGGCAUGGACUGCGGGCACUAAUUCCAGGAAGCUCAGGGGUCAAAAUGGAAGAAAAGGACCUGUCUGCGAAUACUUUUGAACUAGAGAUGGACGGCGGGUUAAUUCCCCAAAAGGGCAGGGGCUCUUUAACAAAACUGCCAUGGCUGAGGGGGGGUACGCGGUUUCUAAUCUGGGCGGUUGGAUCUAAAUCGAACGGUUCGGCGCAUUCCGGUUCGGACGGUCCGAUCUGAACAGCGGGGGUCCGAACGGUCCGAUCUGGACAGCGUGGUUCGGACUGGUCCGAUCCGGUAGAGCGUGGCCGGCAGCGUGGGGGGGGUCACUGGAGAUCGGUUUCCGCGGCGGCGUGCCGCCGGAGCUGGGCAAAAUCAAUGCUCCGGGGGUCAAAUCGAAUGGGGAUUGGGUCUGGAAGGUUCAGCGCGACCUGGGGAAACCACCUAAGGAUAAGGCGGAACGCGAGAAGGGCUCAGGCUGUGCGCACGAUGACGGGGGCGGGUCGGCACGGCGACGCAUCACCGGCGUGCGCGUUUCGGUCUAAGAGAGGGCUAAAGAUCUACGACAUCUAGUGCAAAAAGGACCAAGGAAUGGCGGGAAAGCUCACCCAGGUCUCGUGGUGGCCGGAGCUGCAGCGGAAGAUGGUCGGCGACGAGGUCCGAGCGGCGAAACAGGCGGCGCUCGUGGGGAAGGCUGCUGCAGAGAGGCUCGAGGUCCCUUGGACGUGCGGAUCGGUCGGGGAACUCCCUGCGGAGGUAACCAGGGGGUUAAGAUGGAUCAGGAUGCAACGACAAUGAGGAAUUCCGACGGCGGAGCAGCUCACCGUCGAAGGUUCCUUCGGGAAAUUCGGUCGAUGCCGAGGCGUAGGGCUUCGAUGCUGGGCUAGCGGAGCUUCGGGAUGGCGAGAGGGAGCGGACCCGGGGUUGUGGUGGUCUGGGGUGCAGCGGAACGGCCGGUCGGCAGUGAGGCCGAGGCGUCUGCGCGGCGGAGGGAAGAAGGAGGCGGCGGCGCUGCGGUUCUCCAGAGGUGCUGCUGCGGCUAGGUUUAGGGUUCUAGGGCGCGGAACCUUCUUGUAGGGCAGCGGCCCACAUUGGCAUGCGGGCCCGAAGCGAGAGAGCUUGCCAGAAGUUUCGGGGGCCGUUGCGCGGCCGGUAGAGGAAGAAGGAAGAAGGGGCCGACAGGUGGGGUCGAGCUGGGGAAAUGACUGAGAAAGAAGGAAUGACUGAGAAUAGAAGGAAUGACUGAGAAUAGAAGGAAUGACUGAGAGAAAAGAAGGAAUGACUGAGAGAAAAGAAGGAAUGACUGAGAAUAGAAGGAAUGACUGACCUACUUUCCUGUCUCCUCCCUUUUCUUUUUCAAACCAACUCGAUUCUAUUUGAAUUCAACCCCUAUGCACUCAACCAAAUAAAACUUAUGCACCAGCAUGAAUGCACAAACAUGUUGAACCUAAAAUAAAUUUUAGUUCUUUGUGAAUUAAAUUAUAAAUAAAUGCAAGCUAGGCAAAAUAAAUCCUUAAAAAAUUACUGGAGCCCAAUUAAAUUCAUUAUAGAUCUCGAAAUUUUACCUUAGGGUGUUACACGCGAUAUAGGAGUUGAUUGUUUACUAUUUUGCAAUCACUAUAAGGAUCACGGACGGGGUUAUGUGCAGUAUCAUGACUUAGAAUGGUACCCCAUCUGUGUUGAUCAAUUUGAUAAGGCUGCAGUGUGUGGUAGUGGUGGUGAAGUGUUUGAAAGUACUAGCCACAUACCGUAAAUAUGGUACGCAGUAAGCCUAGUACCUGAUUGGCCCGGCAAGUGGACAUAUCCCACACCACUCGAAUUUUCGUUAUGUACACACGCACCGACAUGUGGGAGUAUGUUCUGCAUAGCAGACGGGAGUACGAUCAUACAGUCACGCUGUAGACGUACGUCCUGCACAUUGGAUGUGCGUAUGGUCCUGCAGUUGCUUGUGGUGGUGCUGAUCCACAACCUGGAAUAUGAGGGGAAUGGUAGUCCGGAAAGGAAAGUUUCCGAGCAUGUGAGUUAGGAUCCCUUGUAAGGUUAUGAAAUUCGAUUCAGGAAUCGUCCAUUUCUCGCGGUGAUUGAGACUACUUGAUACUUCUGCCAUAUAGAGUACAAGAGCAACAGUUGAUGGAACAAUAUUGAUGUAUGCUUUAAUAUCUACCUUGCUUGUCUAGUAUAGAUGCUCACUUAGAAUGGUUAAUUGAACUAGAAUUUUAAAGCUAAAAUAUGCAAAUAAGGAUAUACUCUUUGUUAUUUUUCAGAAAAAGAAAAAGUAGAGCCUUUCAACCUCUCACGGUCUAGUUAUGGGCUAAGUAUACCCAAUUGACGGGUAAGCCUUGCUGAGUAUUAGUAUACUCAGGCUUGCUAGUAAUGUGGUUUUCAGGUAUGUCAUUCGAGGACUUAGUUGCUAGUUCUCCUUGGCCCUGCACUUUACCGCCUGGCUGGUCCGUGGAAUGGGAUCCGUCCCCGGCCAGCAAUGACUCUUCGGAAUGAUGCCAGCUUUGGGCUAAGUAUGGUGCCUGUUUUGCGACGAGUAGUCGCGUUGUUGUUUCUUUUCCGCUGCCAUCUCUGAAUAAUGUCCGUUAAAACUUGAAGUUUUCAAACAAUGUCUGUAUAAAUUUGUUUUAGUUAGGUUUGCAGUACUCGACCAGAACCCAGUUUGUAAUAACUACUUAUGCCUAUGUUGUAAAAAUAUGAUGGUGAUUGUAUCUCUGGAUUCGCCUUCGUGCGAGGUACGCUUGAACGAUCCGGAAUCCGGUGGUUUGAUCGUACCGAUCAAUAGUAUUUCUUUCAAUAUCUACUGGUGCUUCCAUGUCUCAUUGGACCGAUGCAAUUGUGUCUUUUGGUCACUUUAUUUUGGUUGAAGAUCGCGGAGCCUACUUCAUUCAGUCAGACGCUUUUUGACAACAAUUUAGAAAAGGUUCGGAAAACACUUCUUGGUGGUUUUCAAGGUCCACCUCCAUUCGUGUUUUGACUUCGUUUGUCAUCAAAGAUCAAUCACCAAUCAAGACAAACCGGGCGCUACGGUGAGACGUGAAAACACCCGAUCCCAUUCCGACCUCGAUAUAUAUGUGGAAUCGUCUUGCGCCAUAUGUACUGAAAUUGUUCGGGAGACAUGGUCAAAGCCCGGGUUGAAGCCCCUAAAGGGGAUUUCUUUCAGCCAACAUCCAGCCUUAGUGGCCCCUCUCUGAUAAGGUUUGAAAGUUUUCAAAACAAAAAAAAAUGACAAAUCUGGUCCGAUGGCUCUUCUCCACUAACCACAAGGAUAUCGGUACUCUAUAUUUCAUCUUCGGUGCCAUUGCAGGAG
This 23836-nucleotide long non-coding RNA is filed under the name Panicum hallii. RNAcentral's name for it is "long non-coding RNA (PHAL_LNC000323)". The record is from RNAcentral. Lineage: Eukaryota; Viridiplantae; Streptophyta; Magnoliopsida; Poales; Poaceae.